AUUCGGAGGGUCCAAGCGUUAUCCGGAAUCAUUGGGUUUAAAGGGUCCGCAGGCGGUCAAUUAAGUCAGAGGUGAAAGCCCAUCGCUCAACGAUGGAACUGCCUUUGAUACUGGUUGACUUGAGUUAUACGGAAGUAGAUAGAAUAAGUAGUGUAGCGGUGAAAUGCAUAGAUAUUACUUAGAAUACCGAUUGCGAAGGCAGUCUACUACGUAUAUACUGACGCUGAGGGACGAAAGCGUGGGGAGCGAACAGGAUUAGAAACCCUAGUAGUCC
This 274-nucleotide ribosomal RNA is filed under the name uncultured bacterium. RNAcentral describes it as "partial 16S ribosomal RNA". It matches the Rfam family "Bacterial small subunit ribosomal RNA", at positions 523 to 796 of the family's 1533-position model. The record is from RNAcentral.